Molecule: long non-coding RNA, 985 nt
Filed under: Brassica napus (rape)
Lineage: Eukaryota; Viridiplantae; Streptophyta; Magnoliopsida; Brassicales; Brassicaceae
Description: long non-coding RNA (BNAP_LNC019557)
Source: RNAcentral
UGGGUAAACGACUUAUUUCCACACCAGAACUAUCAUAUAGUAACAAAUCCACACAAACUUUAGAUGUACUCCAAUUCCACACAAUUUAAGUAUGUAAACCUAUUUCUCCCCAAACCAAAAGUUCGAAACCCGACUCUCCCUGAAUUUCGAAGAACGAACUAAUACCAACAGAUUCCAGCUUAAAGUAGGUUUACUAUUCUGUGUUUUAAAGCUAAACCAAUGUCUAACCUAAUUAAACCUAACAUGACCCGAUUACGACUCGAUUAGAAAUGUAAACCGGAUUAACCCAAAAUUAAAACCACAAGCCUUAAAUCCCCAAAUCAAAAAAUCUGCGCCUCUCUCUAAAGAAUCGACGACGAAGAGUGUAGGAGAACGACGACAGGUAACUUCCAAACUCUCUUAUCUCUCUGUUGAUUUUGUUAUUUUGUUUUUUGCUUUUUUUUUCAGAAAUCAAACAUGGAUGAUUCAUUGACUGAUGUUAACCUGGAAUGGAAUGAGGUUUCUGAAUUCUUAGCUCCAGACUCAUUACUCAUUGUCUCAGGGUGUGUGAGAAAGAGAAAUGGAUGAGAAGGUUUUUGAUUUUCGAUUUUCGAUUUAGGAUUCUUAGGAAAACUGAAAUCGAUUUGUUUUUUGUUUUUACCUUUAGUAGGUGUUGGUCGGGUAUGUAGUUGGAUAGGAGGGUUGGGUGGGGUUUUAAAAUCGGUUCGGUUCUCUGUUUACGUGUGGUUUAGGUUCUAAAAUUGGAGAGCGGCUGCAGCUUCCUCAUGUAGUUCUAGCAACAAGGUGACGACUCUAGAAGAAGAAGAAGCAGCCAAGGCUCAGCUAGUGCUAGUGUUUGUAUCUCCAAGAAGAGGCUGAUCUGGUGUGUCCGAGCAUUUCAACCUAACAACAGGUUAGGUGAAAUGGGAGAAAUGAAGAUCAGGUUGUUAGAAGAGUACAAGGCAUAGGGUGAAGUGAAGAGGCCAUGAUCCAGAAUCUUUGUGUC